GCUUGUGUGGUCAGGCUGAGUUAAUAUUCUUACUUCAGGGGCAAAUUUGAGAUUUCCUAAGAGUUUGAGGAAUCCUCUAAAAGGAUUCUGGAAAGCAAACAAACAAAAUACUGAAUUUAAAAAUAAAGAAAAAUGUUGCCUCUUCACAUUUUCUGUUUAUUGAACUUACUGGUAUUUUAAGAAAAGCAAAAUCACUUCAAUCCUCUUUAUUCUUUAUUCUGUAUCAAGUGCAUCAGGCAGCAAGCAGUGCUUCUUCAUCUCCAGAGCCUCAAUGUCCCAGUAAAGCAGCCACAGAAAGAAGCUGGACAUUUUGUCACCAGUGGUCCUGAACCAAAGCUGCUCCUGCCAGGGCACAAGUCCUUGUUUUCUGGAGAGGACCAAUUUGCUGUGCUAACCAGGUCCUCCUUUGCCCUCUAAACAUGAAUGUGUGAAUGUGGCAUCACCAUAAAGAAUCCAGUACAGUUCUACCACACUCCAGGUAAGUGCAGGAAAACAGUGAAAUUUCCUAUGUCAAGUCAGAAGAUGUGCUGGAAAUGUAGUGCAGUCUCCAGGGUCCUGGUCUCCGUUAUUAUACAACACAAAGGAAGCAUUCUCAUUUUACAACUCCUCAGGUUUUUAAAAUAAUAUAAGAGAUAAUUAUUUUCAUCAACACAGCUGGCUCCUCAGUACAAUAUUGUCAUUUGGAGUAGCAUUCAUCAGCUGUGCUGUCCUCUGACAACAAAGUGUGAGAACUUACCUAGGCAUGGUCUAGGACCCAUCUACUCUGCCAACUCCAUACUACUCUGAUUUCAGCCACUCUGACUUUUAAAUUAGUGAAAUAAUACAAAGUCUUUCCUUCCCUAAGAUUGGAGACCGCCAAAGUUCAUAUUCUGCCUGUACCACUUACUAGUUGUAAGAUUAGGGCAAGGUUGAGCUUCAUGUUAUGUGUGUUAGUCAGGGGGACAGUAGUUCCUAUUUUAUAGGAUUGGGUUGGGAUUGAAGGACACAACAUCUGUCAAGAUCUUAGAAAGUUCCUGGCUCAUAAUAUUUUUCAAAAUAUUGACUCCUCUUCCUUCCUUGCAUCCUACACCCCCUCAUCUCUUUCUUCUUCUAUUCACAUCCCACCUCCCUGUUUUGCAAGCUGGGUUUUCAGUGUCUUAGCUUUGAUAACUAUUGUCUCUACUUCAGAUGCCUCUUGUGACCAUCUUAUUUAAAGUAGCUCUUUUGUCAUUUUCUCUCACCCCUCUCUUAUUUCCUUCACAGCACUUGGCUGAGUCUGUAGUUGCAUAUUUAUUUGCUUUUAUUGUCUUGUUCAGUAUCUUUCUCCACUGCUGGACUGAAGACUCCAUGACAGCUGUGACCUGGCCAGUUUUGUUCAUCCCUGUACACACUACACAGAACAGAACAUCUGGAAAUAUUUAGAAAUGGAAUCCUAAGGCUUCUGAGCUGUCAGGGGACUACAAAGGGAAACUGCAAUUCUGAAUCAUGAACAAUUCUAUAGUUUGUUGAAGCAGAAGGCACUGGAGGGAACUGGUGCUGCGUCCCCUCACGAGGGUUGAGUGUGGGAUGGAGGGAAGGAAGCCUGCCUUUGACCCAGAAGAGAAUGCCAUAGAACUUAGCUCCGGAUUCCCAGGGCCUCUGCUGAAACAAGUGAAGAGGGUCUGAAGCAGGAGACAGUGAUAGAGAGCAAAUGGCCAAAGAGUACCCUGGGUCAGCUUGGUGGAGGGAUGUUACUCGGCAGCACCCAGACGGUACCUUCUAGGGAACUCCAGAAGUAUGUAAAAGACACCUUAAGAACUGAAAAGCUACAAUCCCCAGGAUAUGGAAAGAACCAGGGAAACUUGAAUCGAGGCUUUUCCUGUUAUUCGCACAGUCUGGUAAGGCCAGGGGAAACUUGAAUUGCAGCAUGAAUAUUAUUGUGGCCUGGUCUCAUCCCAUGUAGAGAAUUCAGAUGGAGAAAUACUGAGCAAAAGCCCAUCAGCAGUCACGAUGGGGUGUGACAGGAAGGGAGGACAGGGUACUGUCCUCAAAAUCCCACAUCACUACUGCAUGAACUAAGACUUUUGGCUGUGGGAGUGUUGGUGGGAAAAAUGGGCCUUCUUCUAUCCUAGUAAAUGUUUACAAAAAUCACAGUCUAGCACCAGGCAACAGCAAAGGAUGUUCAAUGCAUUUAUGUCGUAUUACCUGAACAGCUGGGCAAAGAGUGCCCUGGGAACCAUGCUGGUAAGCUGGGAAAUUCUGAAGAUACAGAAGGAAACAUCAGCUCCAACUCAUACGCUCUCCCCUCAUGUGCUUACAACAUACAUCACUUCUGUGACCUCAGAGGUGUGGGGAUUUCUUCUCUGAAGCCAGCAAGUAACUCUGCAGUAGCAGGAUCUUUAAUUUAAUUCUGUUCUGACACUAACUACAUGUAGUUAGAGUCAGAUCCCACAGGUUGAGGGAUCCCUCCUGAAGCCUGCUCUCCCAAGCCCCACCUUCAGGUGCCAAUCGAAAGCCCCAGUUACUUUUACCUGUGUCUCUGACAGAAUGUCUGUAACUCAGGGAUCUCACAAGUGCCUCCUCAGGUUGGAGAGAUUCAACUGAGCACCUUAUAGAACUCGGGGAAACAUUUUUUAUUGGUUUACUGUAAAGGAUAUUACAAAAGAUACAACAAAUAGUUAUAUAGGAUAAGGCUUCUGUGUCCAUCUCCAGGAACCUCCAUUACUUAGCCCCGUGGAAGUUCUUUUUCCUUUUGAGUUUUCAUGUUAACCUCAUGGUACAUCUAAUGCUAAUAGAAUGGGUGAGGAAGCCCAGGGAGGCCUCUGAGAAAUUCUUGGCCUCUCUGUGCAGCUUUCCUCCCUCCAGGGCACGAGGGAGUACCCUCUGGAAUGAGGAGAGUUCUAUGGCCUGUCAGGAGACAAAGGUAGUUAAAGAAUUUCUUAUGGCCACAGAAGCAGGGAAGUAGGGUUUCUAUGACCCACCUGGGAAAAGACAAAUUCUAGUUUCUGUCUGCCUUGGGGAGGAAGUUAUGAGCUAGGAACUGUGGAUGAAAGCUAAAAUAUACCAUAAUAUCACAGAAAUUGUUCACACCAUACUUUCAAUGGAGAUGGCAUUAACUUGAGAGUCAGAAUGUAAAAUCUGAAUCCUUGUCACCCCUUAAUAAUUUCGUUUCAAAAAUUAAUAGUAGGAGUAUGUAAAAUAAAUUGCAAAUGAUCUGCUCUCACUGUUGCGCCAAUAACUUGUUUCUGAAGGGACACUACCAUUAAAAUAAUAAAAGAGGAUGAGAUAAAAUGCAAUAUCCAAACAUGCAUAUGCUGUAGAUAUGAGAAGAUGGUAAGGCAAUCUCCAUAUCCAAGAAAGGUGUUCACAACAUGAUCCCUUUAAAAUAAUUCUUAUGCAUGUAUGGGAAGAGGCAAGAGUGGGUAUAUACAUGUAUAUGUAGAAGAAGUAAAAGAAAGCCCCAGGCGGAUUUUAUAAUAACAUGAGCAUCCUAACUCCUUUGAACUGAGUUUGGACUGGGUAGUCUUUAAAGCCCUUUUCUAUCUCUCACAUGUUCUACAUGUAAAGUCCUCAAGCUCCUCUGGAUGAUGGCUGGUUGAAAUUGAUUUUUUAGGCCAGAUUUUUAAAAAGGACUUAUUUUUUUUAAAUAGAAGCAACUGCUUCUUUAUGGCCACAUUAGAAACAAUCAGAAAAAGAACAAUAAUUAAAAGCUAAUG
RNAcentral lists this long non-coding RNA (3674 nucleotides) under Marmota monax (woodchuck). The record is from RNAcentral. Lineage: Eukaryota; Metazoa; Chordata; Mammalia; Rodentia; Sciuridae.